This is a long non-coding RNA of Felis catus (domestic cat), 682 nucleotides long. RefSeq lists it as uncharacterized. Lineage: Eukaryota; Metazoa; Chordata; Mammalia; Carnivora; Felidae. The transcript is spliced from 4 exons. The record is from RefSeq and is a predicted model, not a curated record.
GCUUGUGGGGGUGGAGAGAAAGAGGGAAGAAAUGGAGCCAGCUAGAAUCAUUUGUCUCUUUUUACCACUUAUGGAGAGAUUUGUGCAUACCAGGCACUAUGUAAUUCAGCUUUUAUAAACCUUAUCUCAUGUUAUCCUUUUAAGAAUUCAUAUGUAUCCGUCAGGGUUCUUCAGAGAAACAGCCCCAACAGAACUAUAGAGAUGCCUAAACUCUAAGAAGAUGCUUGGAAACGUCUCCGACCGAACGGCCAUGAGAACGGAGUCGUUGCUUGAAAAGUGGUUGUAUCUCACACUCAGCUCUGACGAUGGCUAGUGAAUCGGCUUCUGGCUAAAGGACCAUCCAGCAAGAAUUGACCAGUAGGAUGAGAUCAUACCUGUGCCAUAUCCAGGGAGGACGACUGAUACCGUCACUGCAGAAUGACCCAGAGCCCAGGGAGAGACCUGAAGGAGGGAGGACAGACUGACAAGGAAGCGUCUUCCUCUUCCCCCAGAAAUAGGAUUACAAAGACAAACCAAGCAAAGAGGAAGAGUUGGAGAGGAGAGACCGUGAAGACACGGAGAAUUCCGGGACUCUGCUGUCUAUCUCCGCAUGGGCUUGCUGGGAUCGGGGCGCUGCUGAUUAGCACUGGCUCUUGCUUAAGAGAAAGGAGACAUAUCUAAAAUAAAAAAUAGUGACAACUGA